Molecule: long non-coding RNA, 516 nt
Organism: Eurytemora carolleeae
Lineage: Eukaryota; Metazoa; Arthropoda; Copepoda; Calanoida; Temoridae
Exons: 3
Source: RefSeq, a predicted model, not a curated record
UUUAGGAAAAUGUUUUUAUUUCGUAUGUGAUAUGAUGAGGAUUGGAGCGGAUCUAUGUCCCUUGAUUUGCCCAUGGGUCAACAUUAGUCCAAUUGCUAAGACCAGUGCGGACGAAAUCAUGAAAAAGAAAGAAAUUCAGAGAAAAAUUGUUGACGAAGAGGAGGAUAUAGAGCACCAAGAAAUAGAUAACUCCACAUAUAAGUACAUAAUGCUUAGCAAUGGAAUAAAGGUAAAACUAAAGAACUAAAAGUUACAAUUAAAUGUUAAGUUUCAUGAUUUCAUCUUAAAUGACCAAAAUCUUAACUUUAAGCUAUAACUUAAAUAUUCAAAUAAAAUUUUCUAUUAAUUAAUCAUGAUUCUCUUGAGAAUGUUGCUGCGCUUGCGUAUUUAUAGCCUAUUUAUGAUAUCAGUCAGAGAUUAGAUUAAAUUUAACGAUCUGAAUUCAUUAUUUUACAGAACUUUUAUGCUAUGAACUCGCGCAUUCUUUAGGUUUGGACUAUGUAGUUUUUUUUUGGG